UUUACUCAGAUUUGUAUGGAAUGGGAUCGGUUGCCUACGUUUGCCUACGUUAGUCGCCAGGGGCGCUGUUCCAACUGCAUACAAAUUUUAGUUA
RNAcentral lists this microRNA precursor (94 nucleotides) under Bombyx mori (domestic silkworm). RNAcentral's name for it is "mir-2807 microRNA precursor family". It matches the Rfam family "mir-2807 microRNA precursor family". Lineage: Eukaryota; Metazoa; Arthropoda; Insecta; Lepidoptera; Bombycidae. The record is from Rfam by way of RNAcentral.